UGAUGUCAUUAGGGUUACCUUUUUUAU
Molecule: small RNA, 27 nt
Filed under: Bombyx mori (domestic silkworm)
Lineage: Eukaryota; Metazoa; Arthropoda; Insecta; Lepidoptera; Bombycidae
Description: ovarian small RNA-32912
Source: RNAcentral